RNAcentral lists this ribosomal RNA (295 nucleotides) under uncultured bacterium. Its description in RNAcentral is "partial 16S ribosomal RNA". It matches the Rfam family "Bacterial small subunit ribosomal RNA", at positions 331 to 620 of the family's 1533-position model. The record is from RNAcentral.
UUCGACCUACGGGAGGCAGCAGUGGGGAAUAUUGCGCAAUGGACGAAAGUCUGACGCAGCGACGCCGCGUGAGGGAUGAAGGUUUUCGGAUCGUAAAACUCUGUCAGGAGGGAAGAAAGCGCAUGGCGCCAAUCAGCCAUGCGUUGACGGUACCUCCAAAGGAAGCGCCGGCUAACUCCGUGCCAGCAGCCGCGGUAAUACGGAGGGCGCGAGCGUUAAUCGGAAUUACUGGGCGUAAAGCGCGCGCAGGCUGUUGUGUAAGUUGGUGGUGAAAUCCCACGGCUCAACCGUGGCA